RNAcentral lists this ribosomal RNA (301 nucleotides) under uncultured bacterium. Its description in RNAcentral is "partial 16S ribosomal RNA". It matches the Rfam family "Bacterial small subunit ribosomal RNA", at positions 509 to 807 of the family's 1533-position model. The record is from RNAcentral.
CAGCCGCCGCGGUAAUACGUAGGGUGCAAGCGUUAAUCGGAAUUACUGGGCGUAAAGCGUGCGCAGGCGGUUCGUUAAGACAGAUGUGAAAUCCCCGGGCUUAACCUGGGAACUGCAUUUGUGACUGGCGAGCUAGAGUAUGGCAGAGGGGGGUAGAAUUCCACGUGUAGCAGUGAAAUGCGUAGAGAUGUGGAGGAAUACCGAUGGCGAAGGCAGCCCCCUGGGCCAAUACUGACGCUCAUGCACGAAAGCGUGGGGAGCAAACAGGAUUAGAUACCCGUGUAGUCCCUGUCUCUUAUAC